AACGAUGAUAUCACUGCUUGCAGUGAUUGAUUAGUGGCGAACGGGUGAGUAACACGUGAGGAACUUGCCCAUGAGCGGGGGACAACAUUCGGAAACGGAUGCUAAUACCCCAUAGGUGGAUUGGUCGCAUGACUAAUUCAUUAAAGGUGGCUCUGCUACCACUCAUGGAUAGCCUCGCGGCGUAUUAGCUAGUUGGUAAGGUAAUGGCUUACCAAGGCAGUGAUACGUAGCCGACUUGAGAGGGUGAUCGGCCACACUGGGACUGAGACACGGCCCAGACUCCUACGGGAGGCAGCAGUAGGGAAUCUUCCACAAUGGGUGCAAACCUGAUGGAGCAAUGCCGCGUGAGUGAAGAAGGUCUUCGGAUCGUAAAGCUCUGUUGUUAGAGAAGAACACGUGCUAGGAACUACUAGCGCCUUGACGGUUCUAACCAGAAA
RNAcentral lists this ribosomal RNA (437 nucleotides) under uncultured Dolosigranulum sp. Its description in RNAcentral is "bacterial SSU rRNA". It matches the Rfam family "Bacterial small subunit ribosomal RNA", at positions 65 to 489 of the family's 1533-position model. Lineage: Bacteria; Bacillati; Bacillota; Bacilli; Lactobacillales; Carnobacteriaceae. The record is from RNAcentral.